This is a non-coding RNA of Cricetulus griseus (Chinese hamster), 2257 nucleotides long. NCBI's taxonomy places the organism in Eukaryota, Metazoa, Chordata, Mammalia, Rodentia, Cricetidae. The record is from RefSeq and is a predicted model, not a curated record.
GUGCUGUGACACACGGGGACACGUGGUGGUCCAAGGCACAUUGAAGACUCCCCUGACACACCUGUUGCAAACCAGCUAGUCCCCACUCAGGCUCCUUGGGUGCAACCCCAGCAUUCCUACCUACCUCCAUGGGACAAGAGAAACCAGAAGAGGCAUUUAAUGGUGGCCUCUGGCCACUGUUUCAGGGAGCCAAGAGCAGUCAUAAGGUCUGGUCCAUGUCUGGUCACUUCUGAGUCAUCAGUACCAUCCAGUUGGUGUGUUCCAUCGAUGUCACAUCUGGAAGACUAAGGGCUGACAUUUCCUUAGAGAUGGGACCCCCCCACCCCAGCAGUGGCCAUGAAGUUCCAGACAGUGGGGGAGGGAGGAGGGAAGCUGGGAAAAGGGUUGGUAAGAGGGAAGACAGCCAAGGUGUUUUGAGUGGCCCCAACUCCUGUGUGUGUCUAGCUUAGCCUCCUCUCUUUCCCUUUGGCUCCAGACCCAGCCAAACUGUGUGAACAAAUGGUGCUGUUGGGCCAGGGGCCAAGACGGAAUCUCCUCAGACAGACUAGCCAAAGGGUCUGUCCACUGACUUGCCAGGUCUGCAGGGAGCCGGGGGAGGGACAGGCUAGGGCAGCCCCAGCUCUGGGGGAGCGGUGGGCACUGAGGACAGGAAAGCCAGACCUGCCUAGCCUUUGAAGGGCCAGCCUUCCUGAGGACACUUUAAAUCGCCCCCUAUUAAGUCAUUGCCGGAAGCUUCUAACAGCUCUAUGGACCUUUUAAGGACUGUCCUUUUGUUAGGCAGUCAAGCUGUUAUGCAGAGAGAGAGAGAGAGAGAGAGAGAGAGAGAGAGAGAGAGAGCAAGCUGGCCAGGGCCUCUCACUACUUUCCCUGGGCCCCAAGGCCAGUAGUCUCCAACUCAUGAUACACCCUCCUACAGUGCUUGUUUGGGAAUCAGAGACUAGGGAGUCUGUUUUGAUCUGGGGCAGUCCAGACCUUCUCUGCCUCUUUAGAUAAAGCAUGCACACACACUACCCCCUUCCAGAAGGUUCGUGCCUUGGAGAUCUGCAUGGCUGCUCUUUCCAAUGGGAUCUCUAUAGUUAGGGGAAGUGGGAUUUCCAGAAGUGGCCAGAGUUUCUAUUGCUCUCCCUGUUCCCACAUAUCCCCACCAGUUGAGCCUGCUCUAGAGUCUUCUGGUAGAGCCCUUAGGUAGUUGUUUUCUGGAAGUUCUGAGAAAAUCAAGAUUCAUCCCUUCCUUGGGAACAGGAACUCUGACAGUCUCCAGGGAAGGGCUGGGAAGUGCCUGUGUUCCUGUCAUUCCUUCCUCAGGGUUCCUUCAUUGCCCCAAAGCAAAAGCAAAUGUAGAUAUGAUAAUAGCUGACUUAGACUGUGGGCCACAGUCUCUUGGCUUUUCAAGUUACUGCAGCAUGUGUAGACUUUAAAACAAGAACCCCUCUCAGUAAACUGGAGUUCCUAAGAGGACAACAAAUGGCAAGUUUCCAUUUGGUCAUUUGGCUUAACAUCAAAACCCUUCAUCCUUGGUGGGCACAUCUGCUCCCUUAUUUUGUCCCCAGGGAAGCCUGAAGGACAUUGUUGAGUAAAGGCCUCUCCACUUGAUAGAAAAGAAACUGCAUGAAGCCUUGGAAGGUUUAUAGAACUAGCCUGAGUCAGUGGCAAGUUAGGAGGGAGUUUCAGGAAAUUUCCUUCAAAGCUACCCUCCUCUCAGGUCACAUAGAGCUGUCACAGACAGCUGUGAUGUGGGUGCAUUGCCCAGGGCACCUUAUUCCCCUCGUGGCUUGUAGGCUGGUGGUAAGUUCUUCAUUGGCUGGAGGGAGCUAUCUGAAGGCUUUGAAGGAAUUCCUCUUUUCCUAAGGCCAGUUUGAGCUUUUAUCUCUUGUGAGUGGAGGUGGGACUUACCAAAUGAACCUUCACAGCUCCUGGCCUGGAACUGCUGCUUUUCCUUGCAUCAUUUAGCACAGCUCCAGGGAGGUGUGAGAUGAUUCAGGACUUGUGUGGGAUCACACUGCUAGUCAAUGGAGAGGUCCAGACACCAUCCUAAUCUCUUGGGCCCUAAACUGGCCAUUGUCAGACCUGGUGAGAUGGCUCAGUAGUUAAGAGCACCUAGCCCUAGGUCUCACACUGGACAGCUUAAGACCAUAUGUUACUUCAGCAACAGAGGGUCAAAUCUCUCUGACCUCCUCAGGCACACACACACACUGACACACCACUCACACACACACAUACUCAUACACACCACUCACACACACACAUACUCAUACAC